AAUAAAUGCAGUUUUGCACUAUUCACGUACCGUUCGUCCUAUUUAAAAUUUUUUUCUAUGAUUAGUAUUUUUAUUGCUAUUAGAUGAUAAAAUAUGAAUAGUACUUUAUGUGUGACUAAAUAUUUUCAAUUUUUUCACAAAAAUUUCAAAUAAGACGAACGGUCAAACGUUGGGCACGAAUAUCCACGGCUGCACUUAUU
RNAcentral lists this microRNA precursor (200 nucleotides) under Oryza barthii. Its description in RNAcentral is "MIR812 microRNA precursor family". It matches the Rfam family "MIR812 microRNA precursor family". Lineage: Eukaryota; Viridiplantae; Streptophyta; Magnoliopsida; Poales; Poaceae. The record is from Rfam by way of RNAcentral.